This is a long non-coding RNA of Cyprinus carpio carpio, 772 nucleotides long. The record is from Ensembl. Lineage: Eukaryota; Metazoa; Chordata; Actinopteri; Cypriniformes; Cyprinidae.
GUACUGAUGCUUUACAUAUGUGUGCCAAUUUUCGUGCAUGUACGUGAAACACAGCUCGAGGGCUGUUGAUUUUUUUUACGAUAGGUGGCGCUGUCGAGCCAUUUUGCCACACCCUCUUCUGAAACCUAUAUCAGACGUAAAUUUUCACCAGGUCUGACGCGUGUGCAAAGUUUCAGGACUUUUCGAGUAUGUUUAGGCCCUCAAAAAUGCGAUUCAUUUUGGAGAAGAAGAAGAAGAAGAAGAAGAAGAAUAAACGAAGCAGAUACAAGAGGGUCCUCACACCAUCGGUGCUCGGGCCCUAAAUAUAGCUGCAAGCAGCGAUGGCGGGCUCAAGCCAUCAGCGCAAACGCCACCCCGGUGGCAUCAGGUAAACUGUGCCCAGCGGGCACAUGCAUUUACAGUAACCCUCUGGCACUCAGGUUUUAAGGGAUACGGCAAUUAACAGGUUAAUCCGAAGCAUCAAGACUUUGAAAUCACAUUCACAGAACAAUAUUCAUUAAGAAAGUGAAAUUAAAUGAUUAAUAAACUAUUUAUUCGAACCCUUGACAAAAGGUGGCGCUGUAGAGUGCCUCCUCCACGCCCUUUCAUGUGCUUUUGCCAUUGUCUAUAUAUCAUUAAUACUGAUAUGUGUUUUGAGUUUCAUGUAAUUCUGAGCAUUUUAUCUGCCUCAAAAUCACUAGAACAGAAUAUUCAAGAUUGACACGUUGCCACGGCAACACUAUAUUAGAUAUCAAUAUCCCCACAACAGAUUUACAUCGGCCGUGUUUUGUCA